AAGUAUCCUCAUCAUAGUCACUAGCGGACUCAUACCCACCAUCCUCAGUAGCAAUCAUCACAUGCUUAGAUGGGAAUUCUCUCGCAUAAUGACCUCCACCCUUGCAACGAUGAGAAAUAAUAUCAUGUGUUUGCCUAGUUGAUGCCAUGGAUGAAAAAGAGCUCUGUGCAGGGCCUACUGUGGCACCCCGAUCUGCAUGGAGCAGGGGGCCUUCGCACGUCAGCCUAGGAUAACACCUGAGGCACGACAGGUCCAUAAUACAGCAUUCCAGGUACAAGAAUAUUCAUCAAAUACAUGUAUAUAAGAUUACAUCAUUGAUGAAAACAAUUAUCUGGCAUAGCCCUAAGGCUAUUAAAUGACAGCGGAAGUCUGAUUGAAUGGCGGCGGAAGUCUUGGUUUGGCAGUAUAACAACUCUGGCUGGGCUCCACAACUCACAGGACUGGCAAGAUUAUGGCCUAGCACGACGGAUCAAGCGAGCAAUACGGGUACGACCUAAAAAACUGGCAUGACACGCCAGGUCAGUACAUUGAAUGUACUUGCAAGACAACCAAAUACAUAGCAUCCAAACAAGCUGCAGACAAAGCAAGAACCGAGCGCAUGCAACACCCUAUCUCAUAUCAAUUACUAAACAUGGCAUGAUAAAAAUCAACUAAGCAUGAACAAAAUCAUAACAUCUACUAACAUGGCAAUGACAUGGCAUAUCAGAACAUGAUUAUAACAUUGUAAUAGCAAAACAUAGAAUUUUAUCUCAAUCAUGGCAUAACUUAACAUGUCAAUCAAAGCAUAGCAUGGCAUCAAGAAACUAUGCUGAAAAGAAACUACCAAUAAUAUCCAAUGCAGACAUAGCAUGUUAACAUUAUGCAAUCAUCUUGUGUUCUACCAUGGUUCUAUAAAUGCAAAUAAUGAUAUAUUAUUCCAGCAAUGCAACCAAACUUGUGCACCGAGUCCCUCGGACUCUCUUAUCAACUGUGAUCAUCUCUGGAUCACAAACACACCACCAAAGUGGUCUUUCUCAAGAACAACUCGUGAUCCUUACGGCGAUCACAACCACGACCAACACUUGGUCUCCAACCGUGAUCCUUACGGCGAUCACAACCACGACCAAUAUUUGGCCCGUGAUCUUUACGGCGAUCACAACCACUUAUCUCAUCAUCAAAAUAUCGUCGUGACUCCUCACGACUAUCUCAUAGUUCAAGUUACCAUAUUCUUGUUAUCACAUAUUUAUUUACCAACUUAAUUAUUUCGGUUUGUCCUCCAUUUCGACCAAGACCUGAUAGUGGGUCCUACUACGAACUGUUGCUAUCGAUAGACUUUAUACACUCUACAGAGGUAGCACACUGUACCCACACCACGGAACCCAUGGCCUCGUCAUCCCAUUCGGGUGGACCAACGACAUUCCGACGAAACCAACCUACUGCCAAGACGCUCUCCCGGCCACUCCGACCCAAUCCCCAACGGACUGGUCCUGGGUGGCCCCGUGUCUACCAAAGACACCCCGACCACUGGCGUGGUCAACUCCCACUCGUGGACUGGUACCAAAAAUCUCAAAAACGAGCACACAAGGUUAUGUCCGCUUACCUGAUCAGGGUAAGCACGCCCAUAACCUUCCCUAGUGGGAGGCACCGGCGAGAGUCACGACAAUAGCUCGCAUUAAGGCCUCCCAUAAGGCAAAUGUGGCUACACUGAAAAAGUUCGGUUUGGCGGCACUAUGACUCGAUCCCAUCGAUGACGGAGGAGGUUUGUUAUUAUUAAGUCAUUUUAUUUCCUUCUCCAUCAUCAUGAACAUAUUUAACAUGAGUGCAACAUGCCGCAUACAAAUGCACAAACAAAAUAUUGAACUCCUCAAGUGCACAACUAUAACAUAAAGGACACGACAAUAGUAUAUCAACGGUGCAUUACAAUCCUCAUAACAGUUUAUAACGAUGACAUGCAAAUAAAGUAGAGUAGUGGCAUGGCAUUAUUAAUAAUAACAUUCUAAUUAACAUGGCAAAGGUAUCAUGAAACACAAGCAUGCAAGAUAGGCAUAAAGAAAUAACUGCCGAUGAAAAUGAUAUAAAACAACUGCAACUACACACACACAAGGUGAAAGCAAAGUCAACAUGCAAGUUCGGGGCUCAUGAUAAGAGGUUGGCUUGCCUGGGGGUCGACAAAUACUCCCGGAAGAAGUGGGAAAUGAUCGUGAAAAGAUUUGCCGGAAAUAGUUCUCUCUCAAAGGGGGGCUGUUUACAGGCAAGGGCAGAAUGGUCAUUUUCACUAUGUGAAAACAUUACGAAAAUGAUAUCAACAGAACGGGCUCGACGAAACGAAGACGUGGGCUUUGGAAUCACCUGAUUCGGAGCUACGGGUAAAAAGAUAUGACUGUUUAACUACCAGGGACCUAUCGGUAAAAAAAAUCAUUACAAACUGGGCCCUGGAAGAAAAACAGAUCGCGUCUUUCUCAGAAAUACGCUUUCCAGAGAGGAAAGCGCAUUCUGGCCCGAAGAAGAGGAGAAAUACGCUUUCGGCUAAGGGAAAGCGCACUCCACGGAAUACGCCUUCGGGGUAGCGAAAGCAGAAAACGGCCGAGGCGCCACCACUUAACUGACGUGGCACUGGGCCAGGCCCAUCGGUCGCCGACAGGUGGGGCCGCGCGGGAAGGGGCCCGCCUGGCCCUGGCGUCUUCUACCUCUGGCUUGGGAGUGAGCGAGGCCGAGGGAGGAGAUCGCCUCGACGGCGAUUGCCGGCGCGUCCGACCACCUCUCGAGUCGCACGACCUACCCAGAAGAUCGGGGUGGAGAGACGCAUCGGAUGGUGGUCUCGGUUGCCGACGAGAG
RNAcentral lists this long non-coding RNA (2814 nucleotides) under Triticum aestivum (bread wheat). RNAcentral describes it as "long non-coding RNA (TAES_LNC017975)". Lineage: Eukaryota; Viridiplantae; Streptophyta; Magnoliopsida; Poales; Poaceae. The record is from RNAcentral.